RNAcentral lists this transfer RNA (71 nucleotides) under Cormobates leucophaea (white-throated treecreeper). RNAcentral's name for it is "Cormobates leucophaeus (white-throated treecreeper) tRNA-Phe". The record is from RNAcentral. Lineage: Eukaryota; Metazoa; Chordata; Aves; Passeriformes; Climacteridae.
GUCCCUGUAGCUUAAACCAAAGCACGACACUGAAGCUGUCAAGAUGGUCGCUUAAACCGCACCCAAGGACA